This 253-nucleotide ribosomal RNA is filed under the name uncultured bacterium. Its description in RNAcentral is "partial 16S ribosomal RNA". It matches the Rfam family "Bacterial small subunit ribosomal RNA", at positions 524 to 776 of the family's 1533-position model. The record is from RNAcentral.
UACGAAGGGGGCUAGCGUUGUUCGGAUUCACUGGGUUUAAAGGGUGUGUAGGCGGAUAUUUAAGUCAGAGGUGAAAUCUCCAGGCUCAACCUGGAAACUGCCUUUGAUACUAUUUAUCUUGAAUUUUGUUGAGGUAGGCGGAAUACAUCAUGUAGCGGUGAAAUGCUUAGAUAUGAUGUAGAACACCGAUUGCGAAGGCAGCUUACUAAACAAACAUUGACGCUGAGGCACGAAAGCGUGGGGAUCAAACAGG